Salmo salar (Atlantic salmon) is the source of this 1527-nucleotide long non-coding RNA. RefSeq lists it as uncharacterized. Lineage: Eukaryota; Metazoa; Chordata; Actinopteri; Salmoniformes; Salmonidae. The record is from RefSeq and is a predicted model, not a curated record.
GUUGAGGGUAGGCAGAGGUCCGUAAUCCAGGGCAGAGUCAAUAAGGUACAGAACGGCAGGCAGGCUCUGGGUCAGGGCAGGCAGAGGUUCGUAAUCCGGUCAAAGUCAGGCAGGUACAGAACAGCAGGCAGGCUCGGGUCAGGGCAGGCACAAUGGUUAGAAGCGGGGAGAAUAGGAAAUAGAAACUUGAGAAAACAGGAAGACGGGAAAGCAUGCUGGCAACUGACAAGGAGAGAACACAGGUAUAAAUACACUGGGGAAGAUGGGCGACACAUGGAAGGGGGUUGAGACAAGAACAAAGACAGGUGAAACCGAUCAGGGUGUGACAAAAACAAGUGGCGGGGACCUCGUUUUGUUGUUUUUCAAAUCCCAGAACGGAGCUUUAUUACAUGGUUUUACAUCAUUGUCCCCCAUCAGAUCAAACCAUACUACACCUUAUUCAACAUGUUCCUGAAGUCAACAACUUGUACCAUGGCCAACGUAGCAAGUGAACACAAACAUCGCCCUGAAUGCAGUUUUAAAUCCAGCAGGUGAGACUGUUCAAGCCAUCGACUCACUGAUGGUUGAAGAUGAUAAGCGAUCGGCAGUCUGGAAUCUGCUGGCAUCACGGCUCAACAUCAACAUCACACUAAUCAGAGUCAGAAGACAGUUGAAGAAACUUGAAUUGACUUAUGGAAAGGCUCUGACAUACGUAUAUAUAUAAAAAAAUCUCUCUCUCUCUCUCUCUCUCUCUCUAUAUAUAUAUAUAUAUAUUCAUUUUUUUCCAGAACAUUAAUCACAUGUUCUCUUGUUUUGUACUGUCUAGUUUCGACCCAAUGAUUCGUCUGACAAACAAAUAACUUUGCGUCCUGCAGGCCCAAUGACAUAAUCAAGAGAUAUGCUGGACCCUAUGUCAGAGAAGUGUUUUUGGGACCACAUUUUUUCUUUCAAGACAAUGACCCAAAACACACUGCCGCCCGUGUUUGCGUUGCAAAUGAGGUCAUAAACUGGGUCAAGACGCCAGCAGAGUAACACUUUUAACAGCACAUUACUCAACACUAAUGAGACUCGCAUCAUCCACGGUAGGCCUACAGUAUAUCUAUAAAUAUUUUUUUCAUCUCUACAUGUAGGUCUCCUGAUCAAACUUGUUUGGCAUUAACUGAAAUCAUUCAUCCGUAACUCAGCCAAGCCAACAAGCAAAUAUGAACUGGUGAAGGCCAUCAAGAUGUUUUGGCUUGAGAAACUGAUGAUACAACAGUGCAACAAAUACAUUGAUCAUCUCAGCAAGGUUUUACCCGUGGUCAUGGAGCUGGGGGGAAGUGCAACUAAAAUGUAGCUGAGGUGUACAGUAGUUGAAAUAAACUGCAUUUUGAAAGAGUCUUUUUAUCAUGAUUUUAUUAAUGAAAGCAUAAAGAUGUUGAUGUACAAAUACUGUACAGUAUAUGUUUUAUCCGACAUUUUGCAGUUGAUUGAGGUUUUGAGUUAGAAAUGUACAACUUUAGAGUACUUAAACAUCAAAUACAUUGCAAGUUGAGAGGGAUUUUUCAC